UACGGGGGGAGCAAGCGUUGUUCGGAUUUACUGGCGUAAAGGGCGCGUAGGCGGCCACCGCAAGUCGACUGUGAAAUCUCCGGGCUUAACCCGGAAAGGUCAGCCGAUACUGCGGGGCUAGAGUGCAGAAGGGGCAACUGGAAUUCUCGGUGUAGCGGUGAAAUGCGUAGAUAUCGAGAGGAACACCUGCGGCGAAGGCGGGUUGCUGGGCUGACACUGACGCUGAUGCGCGAAGCUAGGGAGCG
RNAcentral lists this ribosomal RNA (245 nucleotides) under uncultured bacterium. RNAcentral describes it as "partial 16S ribosomal RNA". It matches the Rfam family "Bacterial small subunit ribosomal RNA", at positions 524 to 770 of the family's 1533-position model. The record is from RNAcentral.